GGUGGCACAGCGGCUUCAUCUUUUUUUUUCUCGGGGCAGCGCUCAUCCUGGGCAUGUGAGGAAAUCAUUCUGCACACACAGAGAUGUGACUAAACCUCAUGGCAGCAGUGAUAAAGCGACAUUGAUUUCAGGUUCCUCCCCCGGCCCGGAGAGGAAGUGACAGACCCGAGAUGGAGGGAGCAACGUCUAGAGACCUGACGACGGUCCCGCAGAAUGAUCUGGAUGACACCACCUGACGUGGUUAUGUGCAGAGGAAGAGAGAGAGGAGUGGACAGGUGGAGAGAGAGAUGUUGGAUGCCUCUGUGGACUCUCUUCUUCCUUAUGCUGAUAUACUUUUCCUGGACAAAGUGGACAAUGUGGUUGCACUCCAAAGGAAGACGGAAGAGAUGGACCAAACGUAAAAAUCCACAGGGACGCUUUAAAAGCUCAAACUCUUCCUUUCAAAUUUAUUUCGCAUUUAGUUUUCCUCUUGAUAAUAUACUUGUCCUGAACAUAUUCCACAUUCCAGAAGAUUGGAGGAUGGGCGAUACUUAUUGAACAGUGCCCUUGACACCCCCUGAGACAUCUGAGGACAUUAGCGUCGAACUGAAUUAUCGCCAUCUCGUGGAUGAAAAAGAGCCUUUCUAAUGCUCCCUAUCAUAUCGCUCUUGAGCAAUCAAUGCAUUUAUUAAUUCAUGUAGCCCGCAUCUCCUUGCAUUUGCCCAUUGAUCUUCGGCUCUUAGAAUGAACGCAGCAUUCAAUUUCAA
Long non-coding RNA from Triplophysa dalaica, 746 nucleotides. RefSeq lists it as uncharacterized. The record is from RefSeq and is a predicted model, not a curated record. Lineage: Eukaryota; Metazoa; Chordata; Actinopteri; Cypriniformes; Nemacheilidae. The transcript is spliced from 3 exons.